This 254-nucleotide ribosomal RNA is filed under the name uncultured bacterium. RNAcentral's name for it is "partial 16S ribosomal RNA". It matches the Rfam family "Bacterial small subunit ribosomal RNA", at positions 524 to 776 of the family's 1533-position model. The record is from RNAcentral.
UACGUAGGGUGCAAGCGUUGUCCGGAAUUAUUGGGCGUAAAGAGCUCGUAGGCGGUUUGUCGCGUCUGCUGUGAAAACGCGAGGCUCAACCUCGCGCCUGCAGUGGGUACGGGCAGACUAGGGUGCGGUAGGGGGAGAUUGGAAUUCCUGGUGUAGCGGUGGAAUGCGCAGAUAUCAGGAGGAACACCGAUGGCGAAGGCAGAUCUCUGGGCCGUAACUGACGCUGAGGAGCGAAAGCGUGGGGAGCGAACAGG